UACGAAGGGUGCAAACGUUUGCUCGGAAUUAUUGGGCGUAAAGCGCACGUAGGCGGCUUUGUAAGUCUGAUGUGAAAGCCCACGGCUCAACCGUGGAGGGUCAUUGGAAACUGGGGGACUUGAGUACAGAAGAGAAGAGUGGAAUUCCACGUGUAAGCGGUGAAAUGCGUAGAGAUGUGGAGGAACACCGAUGGCGAAGGCAGCCCCUGGGUCAAGAUUGACGCCUCGAUGCACGAA
This 237-nucleotide ribosomal RNA is filed under the name uncultured bacterium. Its description in RNAcentral is "partial 16S ribosomal RNA". It matches the Rfam family "Bacterial small subunit ribosomal RNA", at positions 524 to 759 of the family's 1533-position model. The record is from RNAcentral.